GCAGUGGCAUAGUUGGUAGUGCACCUGCUUUCUGAGCUGGUGGAUAGGGUUCGAGUCACGCGAUCAACU
Trichonephila clavata is the source of this 69-nucleotide non-coding RNA. The record is from the annotation of a GenBank genome assembly. Lineage: Eukaryota; Metazoa; Arthropoda; Arachnida; Araneae; Nephilidae.